RNAcentral lists this transfer RNA (71 nucleotides) under Hymenobacter busanensis. RNAcentral's name for it is "Hymenobacter sp. M3 tRNA-OTHER". The record is from RNAcentral. Lineage: Bacteria; Pseudomonadati; Bacteroidota; Cytophagia; Cytophagales; Hymenobacteraceae.
GUAAACCAGCUAGUAGAUUGGCUCGCCUUGGCGAGACAGGGUCCUGGGUUCGAAUCCCAGCGGAAUCACCA